AUUUUCAAAAAAGUUUGUUAAGAACUUUUCAAGCAUCUCUAUGUAAUCAAGUUGCAUACCCCAAAUGCUUCCCAAACUUUUCAACAAGCUUCAAUGAUGUUGGUUACUGUUUAAGGCUGAGAAUCAAAACAGAUGACACGUCGAUGAAAAAAGACAUGCAAGCCAAAUCCUAUAAACCAAGCACUAUGCCAUUUUCUGCAUCAGGCAACGCCAUCAGCGACACAAACGGCCGCCGACCAAACGAAGACCACAGCCGAAUCCCCUCUCUACCCUCGUCAGGACCGUCUCUCCUUCUUUUUCUCUCCUUCUCUCGACUCUUCCUGAAACCCAGAGAAAACGACGUCGACCUCCGACGCCGUCCUCGCCAUCCGGCCACCAAUCAAGCCAUCUUGACUUCGCCGAGGUCCCUCUGGCCUUAGUUUUUCCGAUCGGCAGCUAUGGGAAGAGAAACGGAGGCAAGAAGCUUCUGCUCCUCCGUUGAUUUCGGUGUUUUCUAGCGACUUCUCCUGGUAUGGUUUCCUUCCUCUCGUCGUCCUCACCAUUCUAGGGUAUUCAAAUUUCAGUUUAGCUUGGAGUUUAACGAAUUUGUUUUUUUGGGGAUUUUUGGUUGUUCCCUGCCCUUGACGGAAUUCGUCACCGCCGGCGUUCUCUCUUUCUCCCGACGACCUGAGUCAACUCCAGAGAUGUUGGACCAUGGUUGGAAUCGACUUCAUGGCUGCUGAGCUGAGUUAGGCAGAUAGCGUCGAUUUGGGGUUUUCUAGCGAAGGACCUCUGUUUGUUUUUGGCUAACAACUAAAUCGAUUCAUGAAUAUGGUGAUUUGUGGUGAAAAAAAGAAAGAAGCUAAUGAUUCAAGCUCACGGUUUUCUUCGCUAAUGUAGCUAGUUUCCCGGCUUUCGUUUGAUAUAAGGGGACUCCAGUUACCUAGGAGUUGAAUGCUUGAGAUUCUCGGAGUUCGUGAGGAAAGCCUCGGAUUCCAGGUGAAUGUUCUUGGAACUUCUAGACUGUAAAUGUCAGGAUCAUAUGAUAAGCAAAGAGCUUAGCGACUGAGGUUCAGGGUCAGGAUCUUGUUAUUGCAAAUAUUGAGGACUCUAGAGUUGUGAUAGGUACUAGAGAUGAAAAUUGUUCUCUCGUUGGAGUUCAAUUAACUGUACGUAGACUUAAAACCAAGAAGGGUUUUUGAGCUGUCUGAUGACUCACAUAGACAAGGCAUCAGACUAUUUGGGUGGUAAUAUAUAUAAGCAACUCCAGUCUAUUUGAUUGUUAAGAAACUUUGGUUUAGUUGGUUGCACUUAGUUGCUUUUGUCUACAUAUUAUGUGCUAAAGAAACUAAUUAGUAGAAACACUUGACAAUUACUGCUGUGUUAUCAUGUUGGAUUGCAUAUGAGGCAGUUGAACAUAAUGAUGGUGCUUUUUGUUAAUCUCUUAUGGCCUAGCUAGGUUUGUGUACGGUUUAUAUAUGGUGGAUUGAAAGUCUACGUACGUUAUCAAUUUGGAUGUUGAAUUCUUAUUUUAAUUAGUUAUGGAUGCUUAUUUUAUUU
Molecule: RNA transcript, 1539 nt
Organism: Fragaria vesca subsp. vesca
Lineage: Eukaryota; Viridiplantae; Streptophyta; Magnoliopsida; Rosales; Rosaceae
Exons: 6
Source: RefSeq, a predicted model, not a curated record